UAAAGGAAUUGCAGGAUUGAAA
RNAcentral lists this microRNA (22 nucleotides) under Tribolium castaneum (red flour beetle). Its description in RNAcentral is "tca-miR-11622-5p". Lineage: Eukaryota; Metazoa; Arthropoda; Insecta; Coleoptera; Tenebrionidae. The record is from miRBase by way of RNAcentral.